GCCAACACUGGAUUGUCUUCAGAAGACUCAGAAGUGAAGUGUUUCAACAAAAAGAAUGUCCGUAACUUUGUAACAGAAGCAGAAGGACUGAACACGGGAUGGAGGAUGGUUAUAAGGUUAACAAGGAGGUUUGUGCUCAUUGUAGACACUAGACUUCCAGACUGACAGCUGCUCCAUCUGGAAACAUGCUUCUAUCAUCACAGCAGGGGGAAGAGCAUGGGGAGAAUCAUUCCUGUAUUUUCAGGCUUUUGUUUAAAAGUGACACAUGUCACUUCCACUCACAUUUUGUAGACCAAAAAUUACCAGGAAGACUGACUGUGGAUGAGGACAUAGUGCCCUUCACUAGAGACAGACAUCAUGAGACCACAUGUCAAGCCUACAUCCUCACUCCCCACCACCUCACUGCCCUUUGCCCCACUCUUGAAAACCUUAAAAGACAGAAUCCCCAGCCUUUCAGGGCACCUCCUCUCCGAGACUGCCCACACUGCCCUUUAAGUGCAUUCU
Molecule: long non-coding RNA, 504 nt
Organism: Manis pentadactyla (Chinese pangolin)
Lineage: Eukaryota; Metazoa; Chordata; Mammalia; Pholidota; Manidae
Exons: 4
Source: RefSeq, a predicted model, not a curated record